AGGACGAACGCUGGCGGCGUGCUUAACACAUGCAAGUCGAGCGGAAAGGCCCCUUCGGGGGUACUCGAGCGGCGAACGGGUGAGUAACACGUGAGUAAUCUGCCCUUGGCUUUGGGAUAAGCCCCGGAAACGGGGUCUAAUACCGGAUACGACGCACUCUCGCAUGGGAUGUGUGUGGAAAGUUUUUUCGGCCAGGGAUGUGCUCGCGGCCUAUCAGCUUGUUGGUGGGGUAAUGGCCUACCAAGGCUUCGACGGGUAGCCGGCCUGAGAGGGUGACCGGCCACACUGGGACUGAGACACGGCCCAGACUCCUACGGGAGGCAGCAGUGGUGAAUAUUGGACAAUGGGCGGAAGCCUGAUCCAGCAACGCCGCGUGAGGGAUGACGGCCUUCGGGUUGUAAACCUCUUUCAGUACCGACGAAGCGCCGAUGAUGGUGGUGACGGUAGGUACAGAAGAAGCACCGGCCAACUACGUG
Molecule: ribosomal RNA, 476 nt
Filed under: uncultured bacterium
Lineage: Bacteria
Description: bacterial SSU rRNA
Rfam family: Bacterial small subunit ribosomal RNA
Source: RNAcentral